Non-coding RNA from Megalopta genalis, 822 nucleotides. NCBI's taxonomy places the organism in Eukaryota, Metazoa, Arthropoda, Insecta, Hymenoptera, Halictidae. The record is from RefSeq and is a predicted model, not a curated record.
UUCGAUCAUAAAAAUUUUUCACUUGUUAUUCAUAUAAUCAAAUCGGAGAAAGAAGCUGGCGUGAACAGCCUUGGAACUAAUGAUAUAAAUAAAAUCGUCUCACCUGCUCAAUAUUAAAAUAAUGAUCUUUGCCGAAGGAAACAGAUACAAGGACUCCAACUUUACCCUUAGUCUCGGGACAGUGAAAUAUUCCGUAACCUCACAAUUUACUUAUAUGCGUCUCGUUUCGAGGGCUGCGGGCGAGAACGACACGAUCAUUCACUACUGCAAUUCACUGAGGUUCAUUGAUGGCAUAUUGUGCAAGAGAAACGACGAGGAAAACGUUAAUUAAGUAUUCUGGAGAUGGCUGCGUGUCGGAGGAAGUUUGGUGAAAAGCGGGCGAAAUGCAGUCGGACACUCGCGCUUCUUUACAGCUGUAAUAAAAUCCAGGCCGACGAACAUCGUCGGGUGUAAAAGUAUUACGAGCCGUUUCCGCGAGAGGUUCCAGAUUACGAAGCGAUGAUGAUCCACUUAUACCUACGAUUUCUUUUGUGAACCGAGCUCUCGCGCUUGUUGCCGUUCCCUUUACAGCUGUCGUUCGAUCAAACCAACUUCGUUUUAUCAGCACGCUCUUUCUGGGAUGCGUGGGCAAAGCUAUGCGUCGAAUGAAAUUUACUUUUUAAUAUUGAGAAUAUUACGUCCUAGUGAUAAAGAAAGGUAGCGUCGAAGUGGAAGAACCAAAGUGUCGUAAUGUGGGAUAUCUAGGGAGAGGAUAAAAGCGAUUUAACUGCGGCGAUGGGUGCGGUAACAGGUUCCGCUGAUUAAAAAGAAUAUUCUUUGAUG